This 91-nucleotide transfer RNA is filed under the name Mycolicibacterium tokaiense. Its description in RNAcentral is "tRNA-Cys". Lineage: Bacteria; Bacillati; Actinomycetota; Actinomycetes; Mycobacteriales; Mycobacteriaceae. The record is from RNAcentral.
GGCGGUGGCGGGGUGGCAUCUGCGCCGGGCUGCAGACCCGUUGAUUCGGUUCGGGGUGCUGAGGUUCCGGUCGCUGCGCAUCACCGUCACC